RNAcentral lists this small nuclear RNA (105 nucleotides) under Procavia capensis (Cape rock hyrax). The record is from RNAcentral. Lineage: Eukaryota; Metazoa; Chordata; Mammalia; Hyracoidea; Procaviidae.
UGCUGGCUUUGGCAGCACGUGACUGAAACUGGAAUGAUACAGAGAAGAUUAGCAUGGUCACUGUGCAAUGAUAAUGUGUAAAUUCACAAAGCAUUUCAUGUAUUU